CCUACGGGGGGCAGCAGUGGGGAAUAUUGCACAAUGGGGGAAACCCUGAUGCAGCAACGCCGCGUGAGCGAUGUAGGCCUUCGGGUCGUAAAGCUCUGUCCUAAGGGAAGAAUACUGACGGUACCUUAGGAGGAAGCCCCGGCUAACUACGUGCGAGCAGCCGCGGUAAUACGUAGGGGGCUAGCGUUAUCCGGAAUUACUGGGCGUAAAGGGUGCGUAGGCGGCCCUUCAAGUCAGAGGUGAAAGGCUACGGCUAAACCGUAGUAAGCCUUUGAAACUGUAGGGCUUGAGUGCAGGAGAGGAGACUAGAACUCCCAGAGUAGUGGUGAAAUGAGUAGAUAUUGGGAGGAACACCGGUUGCGAGGGCGGCUCUCUGGACUGUAACUGACGCUGGGGCACGAAAGCGUGGGGAGCGAACAGGAUUAGAUACCAUGGUAGUC
Molecule: ribosomal RNA, 440 nt
Filed under: uncultured bacterium
Lineage: Bacteria
Description: bacterial SSU rRNA
Rfam family: Bacterial small subunit ribosomal RNA
Source: RNAcentral